Molecule: long non-coding RNA, 3705 nt
Organism: Macaca mulatta (Rhesus monkey)
Lineage: Eukaryota; Metazoa; Chordata; Mammalia; Primates; Cercopithecidae
Source: Ensembl
GUGAGUGGCAUGAAAUUGCUUAAGCUGCUCCCACGUAACCUCCGGGAUGCACAGUGGGUCACCCCCAGAGACCACUGAGUACAUGUGGUGGGGAAGAAGUCUGUUUUGAAGGUGCUGGGAGAAUAUCCUCUCAUUGUCUGUCUUGAAAUGUGAAGUAAAUAAAUAAGAAUAUGUACAUAUAAACUAAUACACACACACUACAUUACUUACAAUAUAGCCAAUCGAUCACAUUGUGGUGCAUAUGUCUGUAAUACUCUGCAAAUAAAACUGUUUUAAAGGUAAAAAAAAAAAAAAAAAAAAAAAGACACCCCUGCAGGCAUUGUUUAACACUGUAUUCAAUCACUCAUCACCCAUGCAACAGGACCCAAGGAUUGAGAACAAUGGACUUUUUGAUGUGUGUUGCAACAAACUCAUAGCCGAGGGCUGUAAACCGGAGGGAUCACCAGGUCUGCCUACCAGUCACCAGGCAAGUGGGGAGAAGCUGUCACCCCAACUUGAGUUUCAAGAAGACUCCUUGGAAGAAAAGACCACCAAAUUGAGAAUGAAAAGAUCAUACACGGGGGUCGUCAGACAUGGUCUGAGACCUGCUGCGAAGAACAGCAGCCUGGCCCUGCUACCCCCUGGCUUCUGCUCACAGCACUGACCCCAGCUAAUCCAAGAACAUGUCACCUAUAAUGAGGAUAUUGAAGAAAAAUCAACCAUCUUCCAGAUGUGUCUAUAUCAUGAUACGGUACAUGGGUAAGGUAAGCUGAACACAACAUAAAAAAGAAAACUUACAAAUGCUCCCUUCAUCUCAUUAAAGAUGACUCCUUUAAAGACCAAGGGCAUCUGGGGGUCGCUGGGGUUCUCAUAUUCCAGGCGCCAUCCUUCCUGCCUGAGGACAAAUAAUAAUAAGCUGACAGUGACUCAAAUACUAAAGUCUGUAUCAACUAGUUAAUCACUCAUGACAUACCAGAAAUCCAGCUCACGUAAACCUGGGAAAAAGGUCUCAUCCAAAUACACUGAGAGGAGAUUCUGAAAGUCCUUGGGAUUUUGUGUGGAAAAUGGAUACAGAGUAUAAUCACUAGCUCGGUAAAAAUGAAAAGUGAAAUUGUAAAAUUUAACAGAUUUCUACUAAAAUUAUUGAAUCUUAAGCCUCAUUUCCCCUUUGUCUUAGGACAGUAAGUUGUAGCUAUUCUUGAGAUGGGGCAGUGGCUCCAUGCUCUGGCCCCCGACCCCAGCAGCCAUCCCAGCUCAUCGCCCUGAGUGCCGGCUUUCCCAUCCCAUCUCAGGAUCUGCACUGGACGGGCACCAGGUCUUUCUUCAGCGAACAUCUAAACUCUCUCAAGUGUCUCCAGAGACUUUCACAUGUCUACAAAGAUGACCUCAUUCUGUAAGAGCAUGGAUUUAACUUGCUCUACGAUGUCACUCCUUCACAGAGUGCACUGUUCAUCGUCACCCUAUUCACUAGCGUCAGUCUUACUAAAAGUCAAACAUCAAUGUUAGUGGUAACUCUGGAGGCCUGGCAUUGUAGCGAUAUCCCCAGGAGAAAAUUGUUUUGAACCUUUCUGGGAAAAGUUCACGUACGUUUUAUUCAAACACUAGUUUUUAUAACCUCGCUACCAUGUGACUUUCCUGAAGGAUGAAAUUUCUGACGUCCUUCAAGUAGAGAGAGAGAAAAAUUUUUCUAGAACAUUAAUUGCCCACUCCUCUCAUCCCUUCUCAGAAACUAACUGAAUUCCAGUGGGUGUGCCUGGCAAACCCAAACACGGUUUUCCGUUCAGGAUGCUGGUCUUACCUGUGAAGGCGUUCAUGCACGUGGAGAGGGACCGGUUCAACAUUUUGAAGAAAGGGUCUCUGCACGGAUAUUUCCGAGACCCACAAAGGAUGGUAUGCUCAAGAAUGUGAGGAACACCGGUGCUGUCCAUGGGAGUGGUGCCGAACUGCAUGCUAGGGAAGAAGGAAUGGCAUGCCAGGGAAGGGAGAGGAACAGAACGCUAGGCAAGGAGAAUGACUAGAAUACAAAACGUUCAUCUAAGUGCUGCGGACACAGUUCCCAGAUGCAUCAUCACCUCAGGCUACUAGAAAUCAUCAUUCUGACACCACAAUCCUCCAACACGGGGUUUCCCAACUCUAAUGUAAAUCAUUGAUUCAGACUAAAAAUUGUAUUUUGAUGAGAUUGUAAGUCCGUGUAAGCUUUUCCUUAUUUUUCAAGAUGCUCUGUCAAUAAAAAUACUAGUGAGAUGAUAUUUAAACCACGUAACAUACAGUCAGUGCUUUAAACCAAGCUUGUCUAACCCACAGCCUGCAGUCCACAUGCUCAGGAUGGCUUGGAAUGCAUCCCAACACAAUCCCUACACUUUCUUAAAACAUUGAGGUCCUCUAUUUAUUUUUUUUUAGCUCAUCAACUGUCCUUAGUGUUAGUGUAUUUAGUGUGUGGCCUGAGACAGUUGUUCUUCUAAUGUGGCACAGGGAAGCCAAAAGAUUGGACAUCCCUGAUUUAAAUAAAACGUUCAAGACCAUGUUCUUACAAUGCACCACAUACCUGAACAGAUUAUUCGUGUCUUCUCUGGCCAGGUGUAAAUACUUGGCUCCUCUGUCAUCGUGGCUGAGCUUCAUGGGCGUCAGGAACAGCUCGGGAACAGAUGUCACCUGAGUUAACCAGAAAAACAUGAGCAGUUAAAUGUAGACAAAAUAUCCUGUGAAAUGGUGACCUUCAACACACUGAGAAAACUGGCUUUUCUGCCUGAAAUUAGAUGAUGCCGGGAAGCCAGUACUUCAGAGCUGGAUAGAACAGAACCAUCCUGUCCAAGUCCCUUAUCCUACAAACAAGGAAAGUAAGACCUAAAAAAGGCAGAUGAGAAUGUGUGUGUAUAUAUGUAUAUUUUUGAGUGCUUAUUACUGGCUAGGUAUUUUCCAUUUUUUUAUUUUUUAAAUUUUUUAUUCUUUUUUGGCUAGGCAUUUUCUAAUCAUGUCACAUAGAAUCCUGUGACGGAGGUAUUCUCAUCCUCAUUUACAGAUGAAAAAACUGAGGCUCAGGGUGAUGAAGCAAGCUGCCCGAAUCAGAGCCAGGAUUCGCCCUGGUGUCUGCCCUUCCCACGGUACUGUGCUGCACCUAAGUCCUAAGUAACACAGCACCCUUUCCAAUGCCUGCUGAGUGCCUCCUGCUUUUGUGUACUGCACCUCAGUAACACAGCACCCCUUCCAACAUCGGCUGUGUGCCUCCUGUUUCUGUGCAUAUAAUCUCCUGUAGUGCGAAGCACGGGCCUGCAGGAGGGGCAAUGCUGGAGUGGGCUAGCCGGCGACAGCGGGGAGACGGUCCAGGAUCAGUCUUUGCUUCUCCUAGUUUGGGAUGGAUUCUCGGUGGUAGCUGUAAGCACAAAGCUGGUGCUUCCAGAACAGCUGGAGGGGCUGGGAGGAUAGAAAUGCCCCCCAAAAAGAUGAAAGACUCCCCACUCCUGGGGCAGGGUGGAAGAUCUUCUCCUACCUUAGGCAAGCCUCCUGGUAAGUGUCCAUACUCCUCGGUAUGAAAGAAACUGUCUUCUCUUCCAGUCAGGCCAGCCGGCCCUCUCCCUCAAUCACAUACCACGUCCCUGUGAUCACCACGCCACUUGCCACUCCCUCUGUCCAGGUGCCGUGAGUCACCUGGCCAAGCGCGCACAGCAAGUCACUGGCAGAGGUGAGACCUCGGGUCUCCUCAGCCCAAUCUAGGGAGCCUGCCAUCCA